AGGAGGAGGAGGAGGAGGAGGACGACAACGACGACGCAGCCUCCCUGCUGCUGCCCGCAGCCCUUCCCCGGCGGCCCCGGAUCAUCCGACGCGUCCUGGGAGAGAGAGAGAAAGUGGCAGAAGAGGAGGAGGAGGACUUGCAGGCGGCACAAGACAACCCGUUUCGUCUGCCCCGCACACCCAACUGUGCAGGGGGAAAGAAAGGAGGGUCUUCCGUCCGGCAUUUUGGGGGGCAAGCGAGAAACAAGGAGGCACCGUUUUCAGAGAGCCUGCGGCAUGAGAAGGAUGGGAGGCUGGAAUCGGGAGCCCCGUGGCAAGUUGCACAGGGAAGAGUAGGCCUUUUCCGGGGGCGAUGUGCAGUACAGAGUUGGUGCAGCGAGGAGGGUUGUUGCGCGCGUGUAAACAAAGGUCAGGCGUGCUCAGGUCACUGAACAGCCAUGCAUCACUGAUGUCAUUACCAAAAAAAGAGGGGGGAUGUAAUAAUCAGGUCCUCACCAAAAUGCCAGGCCUGAUAGUUGUAGCUGCCUCUGUUCUAUAGAACAGGGUAAAAACCAUCCAGUAAAAGUGUACAAGGUGGUAAAAUGUUCACAAAAAAUGAGCAUAGGAUAGACCAUUUCUUCCCCAUAAUGCACUGGAAGAAGGACUGAGCAAACUGAAUGGACUUGAAAGCAACAAGUUUGCCCAAGCUAAGAGAUGAGAGAAAAACCCCUUUAUUGACAAAAUGCAUACGUGUGGACACACUGUAUUAUAAGGACUUCCUAAGAAGAAAGAGGCUAAGUGACAGGAGUCAAACUCAUGUACCCAAAAUAAUUCCAAGUGAGAACAUGAAGAAAAUGUCACCAGGAACUGUAAUACAAAACUAGAACAAGUUUUCAAGUAGGUAACAGGGAGAGAAUAAUCAUGUACAAUACACAAAGCCCGCUAUGACCUCUAAACACAAAAAGUAAACCAAUACGUGCUUCGAUGAGUAAGCGUAUCAUCAUGUAUGUAUUACAAUAACAAAAAGCAGUGUAUUAAAAUUAGGUAAAGAAACACGAGCUGACAUCUACUGAAAUAAACACAAACAUCAUGCAGGGCCUGCAAAAAGAAGAAAAUGGUAAUAGGGUGAAAUGCAUAAAAUAUUUAUCAUAUUCAGCAAUGCACAAAAUAGAUUAUGAUCUCAGAAGCAAAGCUUGAAAAUGGAUAUAAUGUUUUAAAAUACUGUUAUUCUAAGAAGUGUAAGUGAAGGUAGAAUACAGUGGAAACACUAAAAGCUGUAUAUCUGUGCUGCAAAAGAUUAGUAAAAUUGUUACUGAAAGGGUGUAUGCUUUACAAAGAAAAA
Gavialis gangeticus (Gharial) is the source of this 1321-nucleotide long non-coding RNA. RefSeq lists it as uncharacterized. Lineage: Eukaryota; Metazoa; Chordata; Crocodylia; Gavialidae. The transcript is spliced from 2 exons. The record is from RefSeq and is a predicted model, not a curated record.